Non-coding RNA from Phrynosoma platyrhinos (Desert horned lizard), 72 nucleotides. The record is from the annotation of a GenBank genome assembly. Lineage: Eukaryota; Metazoa; Chordata; Lepidosauria; Squamata; Phrynosomatidae.
GCCAGUGUGGUGUAGUGGUUUGAGCAUUGGACUGUGAGUCUGAAGACCUUGGUUUGAAUCCUGGCUCAGUCA